GCCCCUGUGGUGGAACUGGUAGACGCGGUAGACUCAAAAUCUACUAUCCGCGAGGAUGUGGGAGUUCGACUCUCCCCGGGGGCACCA
Molecule: transfer RNA, 87 nt
Filed under: Alphaproteobacteria bacterium GWA1_45_9
Lineage: Bacteria; Pseudomonadati; Pseudomonadota; Alphaproteobacteria
Also listed under: 3 other names
Description: tRNA-Leu
Rfam family: tRNA
About the family: Transfer RNA (tRNA) molecules are approximately 80 nucleotides in length. Their secondary structure includes four short double-helical elements and three loops (D, anti-codon, and T loops).
Source: RNAcentral